CUCGUAGGCGGUUUGUCACGUCGUCUGUGGAAUCCUAGGGCUUAACCCUGGACGUGCAGGCGAUGCGGGCUGACUUGAGUACUACAGGGGAGACUGGAAUUUCUGGUGUAGCGGUGGAAUGCACAGAUAUCAGGAAGAACACCGAUGGCGAAGGCAGGUCUCUGGGUAGUAACUGACGCUGAGGAGCGAAAGCAUGGGUAGCGAACA
Molecule: ribosomal RNA, 207 nt
Filed under: uncultured bacterium
Lineage: Bacteria
Description: partial 16S ribosomal RNA
Rfam family: Bacterial small subunit ribosomal RNA
Source: RNAcentral